GCUGAAGUUAACGUCUCCAUGGGCCUCUUUUCCACUCCGUCGCUUCGCCGCCUCCGCCACCUACCACUCUCCGUCUCACAACACCACCAGAACCAGCUCCACUUCUCCCAUCUCUCUCCCUUUCCCUCUCCCUCUCCAUACAAGGUAGAUUGUGUUGUUUAAGAAGAGCUCUAAUUCGAGUGGUUUUCUGAUUCUUGAUUAACCGUUAGCGAGUCUUUGUUAGGUGAUUACUACUGUAUUCUUCUGGGUUUAUCAUCUGAAAAGCAUACCUACAUUUAUUUGUCGACUUCUCUUAGCUGGUCAGGGAAAUGGCGGGUUGUCCAUCGAGUUUCGGAUUAUCAAACGCUCUGAAUGUUCAAGACGAGGUCUGUAUGAGGAGUUGGAAGCCGAUGCUCCACAAUUAUGUUGGGUUCAAAACAUUGGUGAGGGAGGUAACUUUCCAUGCUUGGGUUAGACAUGUCUCUGUUAAGAACCAGAGGUUUCUGGUCUGGAAUUCGCAGACAUUAUCUGAACAGCAAUCGGGUGUAGGCAAACCCAUGGUAGUUGAAAAUGAAGGCGUGGAGAGUGUAGUAGGGAAA
RNAcentral lists this unclassified non-coding RNA (578 nucleotides) under Hevea brasiliensis (rubber tree). The record is from RNAcentral. Lineage: Eukaryota; Viridiplantae; Streptophyta; Magnoliopsida; Malpighiales; Euphorbiaceae.